CGUCAAGUCAUCAUGGCCCUUACGCCUGGGGCAACACACGUACUACAAUGGCGCGCACAAAGGGCAGCAAUGCCGCGAGGUGGAGCCAAUCCCAAAAAACGCGUCUCAGUCCGGACUGCAGUCUGCAACUCGACUGCACGAAGUCGGAAUCGCUAGUAAUUCGAGAUCAGCAUGCUCGGGUGAAUGCGUUCCCGGGCCUU
RNAcentral lists this ribosomal RNA (200 nucleotides) under uncultured prokaryote. Its description in RNAcentral is "partial 16S ribosomal RNA". It matches the Rfam family "Bacterial small subunit ribosomal RNA", at positions 1183 to 1382 of the family's 1533-position model. The record is from RNAcentral.